GUGGGGAAUAUUGGACAAUGGGCGAAAGCCUGAUCCAGCAAUGCCGCGUGUGUGAAGAAGGUCUUCGGAUCGUAAAGCACUUUCGACGGGGACGAUGAUGACGGUACCCGUAGAAGAAGCCCCGGCUAACUUCGUGCCAGCAGCCGCGGUAAUACGAAGGGGGCUAGCGUUGCUCGGAAUUACUGGGCGUAAAGGGCGCGUAGGAGGCUCUGUGAGUCAGGCGUGAAAUUCCUGGGCUUAACCUGGGGACUGCGCUUGAUACUGCAGGGCUUGAGGCCGAGAGAGGGUGGUGGAAUUCCCAGUGUAGAGGUGAAAUUCGUAGAUAUUGGGAAGAACACCGGUGGCGAAGGCGACCACCUGGCUCGGUACUGACGCUGAGGCGCGACAGCGUGGGGAGCAAACAGGAUUAGAAACCCGAGUAGUCC
RNAcentral lists this ribosomal RNA (425 nucleotides) under uncultured bacterium. RNAcentral's name for it is "partial 16S ribosomal RNA". It matches the Rfam family "Bacterial small subunit ribosomal RNA", at positions 354 to 796 of the family's 1533-position model. The record is from RNAcentral.